This 299-nucleotide small nuclear RNA is filed under the name Castor canadensis (American beaver). RNAcentral's name for it is "7SK RNA (ENSCCNG00000016279.1)". It matches the Rfam family "7SK RNA". From Rfam's summary of the family: 7SK was discovered as an abundant small nuclear RNA in the mid-70s but a possible function has only recently been suggested. The record is from Rfam by way of RNAcentral. Lineage: Eukaryota; Metazoa; Chordata; Mammalia; Rodentia; Castoridae.
AGAUGUGAGGGAGAUCUGGCUGCGACAUCUGUCACCUCGUUGAUCACCAAGGUUGAUUCAGCUGAUCUGGCUGGGUAGGUGGGUGUCCCCUUUCUCCCUCACCACUCCAUGUGCAUCCCUCCCAAAGCUGUGCAAAGAGGAUGACCAUCCCCAAUAGAGGAGGACCAUUCUUCGGUCAAGGGUAUACGAGUAGCUGUGCUCCCCUGCUAGAACCUCCAAACAAGCUCUCAAGAAGGCAGAGAUAAGGAGGAUCAUGGUUUGAAACCAACCCCAGCCAAAGAGUUCAAGAGACCCUAUCU